GUUCUCACUUCAGCAGAGCAUAUUCUAAAAUUGGAACAAUAUAAAGAAGAUUAGGAUGGCAUGCCAAUUCAUGAAGUGUUCCAUAUUUAA
Cricetulus griseus (Chinese hamster) is the source of this 90-nucleotide small nuclear RNA. The record is from Ensembl. Lineage: Eukaryota; Metazoa; Chordata; Mammalia; Rodentia; Cricetidae.